This 429-nucleotide ribosomal RNA is filed under the name uncultured bacterium. Its description in RNAcentral is "bacterial SSU rRNA". It matches the Rfam family "Bacterial small subunit ribosomal RNA", at positions 355 to 776 of the family's 1533-position model. The record is from RNAcentral.
UGGGGAAUAUUGGACAAUGGGGGAAACCCUGAUCCAGCAACGCCGCGUGGAGGAUGAAGGUCUUCGGAUUGUAAACUCCUGUUAGGGGGGACGAAGGGAUGUCGGCAAACAGCCGGCAAACUUGACGGUACCCCCAGAGGAAGCCCCGGCUAACUCUGUGCCAGCAGCCGCGGUAAUACAGAGGGGGCAAGCGUUAUUCGGAAUUAUUGGGCGUAAAGGGCGCGUAGGCGGCCUUGUAAGUCUUGGGUGAAAUCCCUCAGCUCAACUGAGGAACUGCCUCGGAAACUGCAAGGCUUGAGGCCGGGAGAGGGUAGUGGAAUUCCCAGUGUAGCGGUGAAAUGCGUAGAUAUUGGGAGGAACACCGGUGGCGAAGGCGGCUACCUGGACCGGUUCUGACGCUGAUGCGCGAAAGCGUGGGUAGCAAACAGG